RNAcentral lists this non-coding RNA (64 nucleotides) under unclassified sequences. RNAcentral describes it as "RAGATH-18 RNA". It matches the Rfam family "RAGATH-18 RNA". Rfam says of the family: Actinobacteria, Firmicutes, Fusobacteria, Thermotogae (1 example). The record is from Rfam by way of RNAcentral.
CCUUGGGAGAGUUAUACAAACUGAAGUAGCAUUAAAAGCAAAACAGAGCUCAAUGAAUAAGGAA